RNAcentral lists this transfer RNA (71 nucleotides) under bacterium. Its description in RNAcentral is "tRNA-Gln". It matches the Rfam family "tRNA". Rfam says of the family: Transfer RNA (tRNA) molecules are approximately 80 nucleotides in length. Their secondary structure includes four short double-helical elements and three loops (D, anti-codon, and T loops). Further hydrogen bonds mediate the characteristic L-shaped molecular structure. tRNAs have two regions of fundamental functional importance: the anti-codon, which is responsible for specific mRNA codon recognition, and the 3' end, to which the tRNAs corresponding amino acid is attached (by aminoacyl-tRNA synthetases). tRNAs cope with the degeneracy of the genetic code in two manners: having more than one tRNA (with a specific anti-codon) for a particular amino acid; and 'wobble' base-pairing, i.e. permitting non-standard base-pairing at the 3rd anti-codon position. The record is from RNAcentral. RNAcentral also lists the same sequence under 4 other names.
UGUCCUGUGGUGUAACGGUAGCACACCGGAUUCUGGUUCCGUUUGUGAGGGUUCGAAUCCUUCCAGGACAA